CCUGCCCAGUGACAAUAUGUUCAACGGCCGCGGUAUCCUGACCGUGCAAAGGUAGCAUAAUCAUUUGCCUUUUAAUUGGAGGCUAGUAUGAAUGGGUAGACGUGGAUUCAACUGUUUCUUUAUUAUAAAUAAAACUUAAACUUUAGGUGAAGAUGCCUAAAUAUUAUAGAAAGACAAGAAGACCCUAUAGAGUUUUCUUUGGUUGGGGCGACCUAGGAUUUUUAUAAACAUCCUUUUAUUAAGAUCCCUAAAUCUCUAUUAUAGACCUAAACGGAUUAUUAGAAUUAACUACCUUAGGGAUAACAGGCUUAUCUUCCUAGAGAGCUCUUAUUGAUAGGAUGGUUUGGCACCUCGAUGUUGGCUUAGAGUAACUUAAUACCGCAGCAGGUAUUGAAAGUCAGUUUGUUCAACUGUUAAUUCUCU
Molecule: ribosomal RNA, 423 nt
Filed under: Eunoe sp. NSJC66_496_S001
Lineage: Eukaryota; Metazoa; Annelida; Polychaeta; Phyllodocida; Polynoidae
Description: partial 16S ribosomal RNA
Rfam family: Bacterial large subunit ribosomal RNA
Source: RNAcentral